Long non-coding RNA from Callorhinchus milii (elephant shark), 852 nucleotides. RefSeq lists it as uncharacterized. The transcript has 3 exons. The record is from RefSeq and is a predicted model, not a curated record. Lineage: Eukaryota; Metazoa; Chordata; Chondrichthyes; Chimaeriformes; Callorhinchidae.
GCAUGAUUUUGGCCAGGUGACCUAAUGUCCGCACCAUGAUUGGAUGGACACAAGCUUAAGACACCGUGCCAGACCAAGAUCGGCGCCCAGUUCAGUACCUACCAAUGAUGGAAGACUGAGAGCUAGAAGGCAGAAGUAGAUGAUCACGAGGAGGGUUUACGUGGUACUGUUGUUCUGUUAGUGAAUCUAUUGAUUGUGCUCACUUGCCCACGCCCAUCGGGAACUUGAACAGAUCCUGGAGUUUAAUAAACACCACUCUGGUUGCAAACAGUGGUUGUGUUUGAUUGGAAUUCAAAAGAAGGUUUUUCCUUAACACUGGCAAGCUAGUCCUGAUUGACAGAUCGAAGCCAUGCAGCCAAACAAAUAAUGUAGUUACCAGGGAAGAACUUCAGAAAAAAAGAAUUCUGCACUGAGAUAUUUCAGACCAUCUCUCCCAGCCAGAGAAACCAGACAACAGAAAUAACUAGACACUCUCCCAAAACAAAAUGUCAGCCGAAGCAGAUUCAUCUGGAAGUAGCAAGGAGCCAAAGCUGGAUCAAUUACCUUCUACGGUCGAUGAGGGUUUUAAAAUAGUGAAUGGCAGAAUUGAUGCAUUGGGAGUCAAAAUGGAAGGUCUCAUAAGCGAUAUUAAAACUCUUACAGAUGCUGUGAAGAAAGAAUUCCUAGAAGGCGCCAAAGAAGGAUGAUCCAUCCUCACCAUCAUCCCCUACCUGACCUGAUCAAUAGCUCCUUCGGAAAAAUAGCUUAGGGGUAUGUCUUCUCAAGGGGAGCACUUUAUUUUGGAAGAAUAGGCCCACCACUAGUUACAUUAGUGAACCCUGGCACUUAAAAACAAGCUUGUAAGAUGUUUGG